Molecule: ribosomal RNA, 717 nt
Filed under: Escherichia coli
Lineage: Bacteria; Pseudomonadati; Pseudomonadota; Gammaproteobacteria; Enterobacterales; Enterobacteriaceae
Description: partial 23S ribosomal RNA
Rfam family: Bacterial large subunit ribosomal RNA
Source: RNAcentral
CUCCUGACUGACCGAUAGUGAACCAGUACCGUGAGGGAAAGGCGAAAAGAACCCCGGCGAGGGGAGUGAAAAAGAACCUGAAACCGUGUACGUACAAGCAGUGGGAGCACGCUUAGGCGUGUGACUGCGUACCUUUUGUAUAAUGGGUCAGCGACUUAUAUUCUGUAGCAAGGUUAACCGAAUAGGGGAGCCGAAGGGAAACCGAGUCUUAACUGGGCGUUAAGUUGCAGGGUAUAGACCCGAAACCCGGUGAUCUAGCCAUGGGCAGGUUGAAGGUUGGGUAACACUAACUGGAGGACCGAACCGACUAAUGUUGAAAAAUUAGCGGAUGACUUGUGGCUGGGGGUGAAAGGCCAAUCAAACCGGGAGAUAGCUGGUUCUCCCCGAAAGCUAUUUAGGUAGCGCCUCGUGAAUUCAUCUCCGGGGGUAGAGCACUGUUUCGGCAAGGGGGUCAUCCCGACUUACCAACCCGAUGCAAACUGCGAAUACCGGAGAAUGUUAUCACGGGAGACACACGGCGGGUGCUAACGUCCGUCGUGAAGAGGGAAACAACCCAGACCGCCAGCUAAGGUCCCAAAGUCAUGGUUAAGUGGGAAACGAUGUGGGAAGGCCCAGACAGCCAGGAUGUUGGCUUAGAAGCAGCCAUCAUUUAAAGAAAGCGUAAUAGCUCACUGGUCGAGUCGGCCUGCGCGGAAGAUGUAACGGGGCUAAACCAUG